This is a long non-coding RNA of Passer domesticus (house sparrow), 1427 nucleotides long. RefSeq lists it as uncharacterized. The transcript is spliced from 3 exons. Lineage: Eukaryota; Metazoa; Chordata; Aves; Passeriformes; Passeridae. The record is from RefSeq and is a predicted model, not a curated record.
AGGGAAACCACUAAUGAGAGGAAGGACAGCAGGUGGGGAGCUGGACAACAUCCUUUGCCAUGGCAAGCCUGAUAAGGGCUCAGUGCACUCAUCAUUGUUUCGCUGUUUUUCAUCUUCGAGAGGCUUGGGCUGCUCCCCCUUGCUGGAGACUGACAAAGGGCCAGCCAGCCUAAAAGAAGAGUGGAUUUUUUCCCCAGCUAUGUUGGUUGGCUUCAAAAAAGACAUUGUGUCUCUUUGCAUGUCUUGCUGCACUGGGUAGACACCCAGAGGAGAAAAGGCUGAAACAGAAGAAGGAUAAGUUUGUUUUCAUUCCUUACUAGCUGUGCAUGGGACAUUCAAACAUCUCCAAGGCAUGAGAGUCAAUCUUGUGCUGCAGAUAUUGACCAGCUAACUUUUCUUAAGGAACUGGGGCAUAGAUCCAGCGUGGCUGUCACCAACAAUAUCAAUGAAGGGUCCAUCUAUGUCCACAAUCAUGAGACUCUUGUCUGCAAGGACUGUGUAAAUCCUGUCUGUGAACACUGCUAGUCACCAGGUCCAAAGCAUUAUGGAUUUCUCUUUGGACUGUGUAGCAGCUUGGGAAACAAAAGCAACUUCUGGACCAGCAGUUCUAAGAGACCUUUCAUGGAGAACAUCCAAGAAAGUCUCUUCAUGUUUAUUCCAAAUUUCAUCUGAGGAGACAUCAAUAUGGGCUUUGGAACAGAGGAUCCCAAUGACAUCAGCAGCAACAGCCCAGAGAACAACUUUCAGCCUCAUCUGCUUUUAGAAGUUAUUUGUAAACUUCCUUGCAGUUGUAGGCAUGUUUGGUGAUCUUCACUAUCAUUCCCUUUCCCUGCAGGUAUACUCUGGUUUUUUGCCUUUUAAUCAUAGUUCCUGCAGUUUGUCAAAGGGUACUUCAAAAUAUCUAUUAACAGAGGGUGUAGAAUAAAAUUCAUCCCUGGGCUGUCUGUGUUUGUUAAGGAAUAGCUGUGAUAGCUGAAGAAACUCUGUCUCAUCUUGAGUUCCUUGGUCCUGAAUUGUCAAAACCACCAGUGCCUGAGAAGCUCGGCUGGCUUUCUCCUGUGGUCCUUUCUGCUUCUUUCUUCAGGCUGUGCUGGGUUUGGAAGACAGCCCUGGAAAAUACAAGUCUUCUGGGUCAGGGAAAGGGAAUGGGCUCUCUCUUUCCACCUGAAGUCUGCUCAUUCCUAAAACCUAAUACUCAAAUCCUUCGCUUGAAUUCUGAUGGGCAAGAUCUCAUGAACUGGGGAAUUCCCUGGGGAUUUUUUCCCCCAGUAUGAGCAGAGACUCUGGGCUCUCAAUGAGCAGUGUGGUGAGCACUGGUUGCAAACCACAAGGGUUAAGUGGCUUGUCAGAUCAUGGGCGGCAAGAAACUGCUGCAUGUGUGUGGUCUUCCUGGUUCACACUCAAGUGUUUUACCAAACAAAACCCCA